Long non-coding RNA from Hippocampus zosterae (dwarf seahorse), 486 nucleotides. RefSeq lists it as uncharacterized. NCBI's taxonomy places the organism in Eukaryota, Metazoa, Chordata, Actinopteri, Syngnathiformes, Syngnathidae. The transcript is spliced from 6 exons. The record is from RefSeq and is a predicted model, not a curated record.
CAGACAUCAAGUGACAGGUACCUGACUGAACCCUCUGGAAACCAAGAAUGGAGUGAGAGAUCCACUUCAUCCUUACAACAGACACCAAGUGACCUGACUGAACCCUCUGGAGACCAUGAAUGGAGUGAGAGAUCCACUUCAUCCUUUCAACAGACAUCAAGUGACAGGUACCUGACUGAACCCUCUGGAAACCAAGAAUGGAGUGAGAGAUCCACUUCAUCCUUACAACAGACACCAAGUGACCUGACUGAACCCUCUGGAGACCAUGAAUGGAGUGAGAGAUCCACUUCAUCCUUUCAACAGACAUCAAGUGACAGGUACCUGACUGAACCCUCUGGAAACCAAGAAUGGAGUGAGAGAUCCACUUCAUCCUUACAACAGGUUACUACUUCUUAUCAUGAUAUACUAGGUUUGAAUUUUCAAUGUUCUUUGACAAACACAGGAGAAGUUAUAAAUCAGAAACAUGGACUCUCCAUGAUUUCAGUC